This is a long non-coding RNA of Hyla sarda, 711 nucleotides long. RefSeq lists it as uncharacterized. The transcript has 3 exons. The record is from RefSeq and is a predicted model, not a curated record. Lineage: Eukaryota; Metazoa; Chordata; Amphibia; Anura; Hylidae.
CAGGAACAUCAUGGAAAAUAAUUGUCAUGAUGCAGAUUGUGGUACCAGCUAAUGAAAACCUAUAAGUAUAAGCCAGUAUUACCUCUACUAUGAGACCUUAUACAUGCUGCCAUAUGAAGGCUCGGCGGCUGAGGGAUGAGGUGCCAAGCUCGGCUAAAAGUGAAUUAAGGCCUUCUCUGCACUUCCGCAUCAGCAACAAGAUGAGGAUGUACAGCAUAUAAAUCUGAGUGGUGGACAAGCACAAAAACAAUAACUCUCAGGCAUUAGAGUGCCUACUAUAAAUUAACCUUGAAGGCUCUGGAGAUGAGGUAAUUGGCGUGGCACCUGUGGCGUUGGACACUCGCGGCCUAUUUUUAAACGAAGGUUUAACAGAUUGUCACCGAAAUGUCAGAUUGCUAAUUAGUAACACACCAUCUGACUGGGAGACCUGUGUACAUUGUCAACAAUAGCGAGCACUAUGCGGUGUAAAAAAAAAAAAAAUACUUAUGUGAAAGGAAGAACAUUGACAGACAGAUUUGUUUGUUUCUGUGAAUGCUCAUGGUGACUUAUCUGAGCUAGAUGAGAACGGAUUACACAGAUGUCAAAAGCAGAACCAAUGACUAGAUACAAUGUAAAAAGAGAUGUCAUCAGAUCAUGGCAUUUAAUGGCUACAGGAAAAAUGUAGAUGAAUAUUCUUGACCAUCUUUUUGGGUCUAGGUAGUCAGCACCGUC